AAGUGAGGCGGCGCCCCCCGCCCCUGCGGCCUCGCGCGCCCCCUCCUGGGCGACCGACCUCGCCCUCGCGUCCGCGGCGUCCCCUGCCGGCCGGGCGGCGAUUUGCAGGUCCAGCCGGCGCCGGUUUCGCGCGGCGGCUCAACGUCCACGGAGCCCCAGGAAUACCCACCCGCUGCCCAGAUCGGCAGCCGCUGCUGCGGGGAGAAGCAGUAUCGUGCAGGGCGGGCACGCUGGUCUUGCUUACAGUUGGGCUUCGAUUUUAUAGGUUCAGAAAGUGUGUCUCAGAGGAGUUAGAGAAGACCGAUUAAUAGAUGACAGUGCUAAAGCCUGGAUCUCCUGAAUCCUGGAUGAAAGUGUCCUAAGUUAGAUUCCUGGGAAGAAAAUUCUGAGACACAUUCUGCAGGAUGAUUAUUAGGGCUCAUCCUUGGUUUCAACACCCAUAGAAGGAAGGGGGAAGAAGAAAUCGAACAGAGAGACAGAAGUCGAGAUGCAUUUCAGGCCAGGACUCUUGGCUGAACCCACAGGAGCUCUGGAGCUAGAAUGGCCCUUCAGAGUUGUCCUGAGUUGGUCUGAGAUGGCCAGUUCUUUAUAUUCCUGCAUGGGAUAGUCACUGGAUGUCCACCCCAGGAAGGGGUGUGGCCAAGACAGUCCCUAAAAUGCCCGCCAGCACUCCCUACACCUGGAGCGACAAGACCAACAUCACAGGGGGAAUGCACUGGGUGAUGGAUCACAGCGUUCAUCCCAGAAGAUGAGGAUACAGAAUUGGCUGACAACUACGUUCUAAAUGUCAGUGUUCUCCAAAAUUCAUAUGUUGAAACUUAAUUCCCAAUGUGAUGGCAUUAGGAAGUGGGGCCUUUGGGGGAGGGACUAUAGGUCAUGAGGGUGUAACCCUCAUCAAUGGGAUUAGUGUCCAGAGAGCUGCCUUGCCCUUCCACCAUGUGAGGACAUAGUGAGAAGGUGCCAUCUAUGAACUAGGAAGUGGGCGCUUACCACCAGACACCCACUCUUCUGGCAACUUGAUCUUGAAUUUCCCAGCCUCCAGAACUCUGAGAAAUCAAUUUCUGUUAAUUAUAAGCUACCCAGUCGAUAGCAUUUUGUUAAAGCUGCUGGAACUAAACUAAGACACUGACGCUUUCUGCGACAAAAAGAUAGAGUGAGUCUCUAUAGCAUACCAUGUAACAGAUGUUUUUGGAAAAAUAACCUCAUUUCAUAUGUUUCCUCAAGAUAAAAAGAAUGUCAUAACAACAAAUGAGAAAAUAGUUGCUUUAGAAAUAUUGCACCCUAUGGAGAGAGUAUUUUGGAUUUUGGUUUUUUGUUUUGUUUUUUAACUUUUGUUUUAGGUUUGGGGGUACAUAUGCAGGUUUGUUAUAUAGGUAAACUCAUGUCACAGGGGUUUGUUGUACAGAUAAUUUCCUCACCCAGGUACUAAGCCUAGUACCCAAUAGUUGCUUUUUCUCCUCCUCUCUCUCCUCCCACCCUCCACCCUCAAAUAGGCCCCAGUGUAUGUUGUUCUCUUCAUUAUGUUCAUGAAGUUGAGAGAGUGUUUUGAAAAAGAAUGUUGGAAAGCAUUUCCACUGUUAGAUGAUUUUAAGUCAAAAAGUUAUACAACAGUGUGACCUAUUUGCACACAAGCAUGGACACAGAAUUGUGUCAUAUGUUUAAAACUUUUCUAGAUCCUUUUGUGGUUCAUAAGCUUGAUGAUUGAGUUUUCGCGUCCACAUGUGAGAUGUGCCUCCCUUGAGCCUUGUCAUUGGCACAUUACCUGCCUGAUGUGAACAAUAAAAAUAAAAAAUAAAAAUUUGCUAAGCAGA
Long non-coding RNA from Homo sapiens (human), 1811 nucleotides. Ensembl annotates it as ELOVL2 antisense RNA 1. Its record names the gene ELOVL2-AS1. NCBI's taxonomy places the organism in Eukaryota, Metazoa, Chordata, Mammalia, Primates, Hominidae. The record is from Ensembl.